Molecule: long non-coding RNA, 1482 nt
Organism: Betta splendens (Siamese fighting fish)
Lineage: Eukaryota; Metazoa; Chordata; Actinopteri; Anabantiformes; Osphronemidae
Exons: 4
Source: RefSeq, a predicted model, not a curated record
UGACGUGUUGUUUGUAUUUUUGUAGUUAAGUUGAGCUGGUUCACUGGUUCAAGAUGUUUUUGGCUCCUCUAUGUUCCCACUUUGGCCUUUUCUGUAAAAGAUAUCUUUGCUACUCCAAAGCAGAUUAUCAAGACUCUACAGUAGCCACCAGGCAGCAGACAAAACAGCGAGUAAAGCUCAGUGUGUCAAGACUAUUUCUGUCUGUCGUGAAGCAUCCAGUUGAUGAAGGCCUCCCUCUGCCAACAACACUCGCUUCAAGGCCCUGUCCAUGGUGCUGAUUCCUCCACGUCCCAUCCACAUUUAAGCUAUUCCCAUCAGAAUGGGGUGAUGCUGGUAUCAUUCCCAUCGUCAGGCUUUGAACGCUGAGGGCUUGUGAAUUCUUUUAGCAGAAAGGUCUGUGGAGACAGCACCACCAAUAAGAAUGUAGUGAAUGGGAGGAAGAUGGAACCACCGACCACCCUCCCUUCAUUCUCCUGCUGCAACUAGAGGCGGCAUUUGUUACCUGAAGGUCUGUAAUGUGACAAGGCAGCAUUUGCAUUAUGGAUAUCAGGUUACUAUGGCAACUGAAUAAAGCCCUAGGACCUUAAAAAGAUUUUGAAACGCAUUGCAAGCCAAAGUUUCAGACGAGGGACGGUGUCAGGUGUUGGCAUGUUGGAUGUGGAAGGGAGCAAAGGGUUUCUGAUGCUGGGGCCUGGUGACAUAUCUAAACACUUAGCACACAGCCGAGACUCUAAACCACACAAAUUAACAUGAAUGGUGCCUCCAUUACCAGCACAGAGAACAAUCUUCCCUGUCCUCCAGCUCAUUUAAUGCACCUGCGACUUCAGCGCUGGGUCCAGAGUAAACACUUAUUCCCUCUGACAAAGUGUGAGACUCGUUGCUACAGCUGCUGGAGCCGCGGACGAACUUGAUUUGCCUGACGAAGUUUGGAGCUGCACAGUGAUCAACCACUGGUUUUAAAUUUCCAAUUCUUCUUGCGAUUCUAUCACAAACUACUGCAUGUUUACUUUAUAUGAAUGCUGAUGUUGGGACAUUGGGCCCGUGAUGUUGUUUAGUGCUCAAUUUGGUCUCUCCACAGUGAAUUUGUAGGUUUUGUAUUUCUUCAUUUGUGGCUUUGCAGAGUCUAAACCAUUUUAUUUUACUAAUUCGAUUAAAUGGGUGUUUUAUGUGUUUGCAGCUGAUUUGUGUUUCUUUCAGUCUUCAUUUGUUUAUUUUGUCAUUUUGGGAGGUUGACCUCAGAGUUCCGUGUAGUUUCCUACUUGUUUCUCUCAGUGAUAUUUGUGAGUGUUGAAUCUUUUGAGUUUCUUUUUGUCGGGUAAUUAUCCAGUUGUCCCUUAACUGCAGGCUCCGUCUCAGGCCCCUCUGAUUGCAGAACCAGUCUAGUCAGCCCAUUCAAUAAUAGCGACUAACAGCCCCAGUAUGUCUCAAAGGAAAGUGGACGCAGAGUGUUCCAAGAAAAAUGGUCAUCAUCCUAUUUAUUCA